UAAUAGUUUAAUUAUAAUUUUUUAAAUUAUUAUCACUAUGUAAUUGUAGUAUUAGUGGCCUAAUAGUUGCAUUUAUUAUUAUUUUUAGUUGAAUUGUUUGUAGGUUAUUUGUACUCUUGGUUUAUACUUUAAACAUCAUUAAUGGUUAUUGAUGCACUUUUUGUUAUCUAUUAUUCUUUAAAUUAAUUUUAGAUAUGUUUUUUAAAAAUGUUGAUGGUUAUUACUCAUUUCUAGAAACUGAAAUAAACCUAAAAUAUGCAUUAAAAAUAUACCUAAAAGUAUAUAUUUAUUAAUUAAUUGAUGUGUCCCCGCUGUAUUGUGUCCUAAUUUUUAAAGAAUUUCUGUGUCCCGUGUUAUGUCCGUGGUCAUAGUUCUUAGAUAUUGGUAGACCAUAACCAUUGUUUGUGCAUCCCACCAUUUUGAGGAUGAUGAUUGGUGACACAGAUUUCUUAGCAGCAUUUAAAAUGGUUGUAGCCUUUUCAUUUAGAUUUUAUAUAUACCUGAUCAGUUGAGCUCUUUGUGGAUGGUGUAGCAAUGACUGAGAAUGAAAUUUCUUGGUGUUUUGAAGGCUUUUGAAUGAUAUAGGUUAAAUUCACUUUCAUACAAUAUUUUUGAAAUUACAUUUUGGACAUAUAUCACACAACUGCAGACUAUUGAGUUUUAAUGUUACAAAAAAGGAGCAAUUUGUUUACUAUUUCAGAAAAGAAAAAGGGUUAGUGACAUGCAAAAUUUUCUACAGUAUCCCUUAGUAAAGUAAGAGCAGCCUAUAUAUAUAUAUAUAUAUAUAUAUAUAUUUGAUGUCCUGUAAUAUUCAACACAUAAUGGGAAACUUAGAUACAAGCAAUGGAUUCUGUGGAUACUGGAUAAUAGAACAGCUGCAACAACCUACUGAAGCUGCUUAUUUACUUCUAUUUUGCAACAUGCUUUUGUUCAUAUUUUGCUUUGUUCCAUUUGAAUAGCUAUCUGUUUAGUUGCAGUGUGGUCAUGAUGGAGGGUGAUCCCAUCCUGGUGCAAUUAAAGGUUACAUGCCAUUGCAAAGUUUUAAUCCUUCUAUUGAUGCGAGUAGAAAGGUCAUGAUACCUGAAAUAUCCUAUGACUAUUGACCUCCGGUUCUUCUCUUUUGGCUUCUGUUCUCCUCACUCAAAGGUCAAGUGACCUCAAAUGUCCAAUGACGGAGGGUGAUCCCCAUCCUGGAGCAAUUAUAGGUUGCAUGCCAUUUCAAAGUUUUAAUCCUUCUAUUGAUGCGAGCAGAAAGGUCAAGAUACCUGAAAUAUCCUAUGACUAUUCAGUAUUCACCUCCUGUUCUUCUCAUUUGGCUUCUGUUCUCCUCACGCAAAGGUCAAGUAACCUCAAAUAUCCAAUGACUAUUCACCUCCUGUGCUUCUCCUUUAGCUUUUUUUCUCCUCAUGCAAUGCCAUGUGGUGGUAGAACCUGAAUGAAGCAGCAGCAAAGCCAGUGUCUGCCACUUCUUCUGGUAGUCAAAGUGGAAUAUCUUUGAGUGAAAAUGGAUCAUUAAUGGAUGAAGCAGGGUGCUCGAACACUGAUAAAUUGAGUUUUGAUGCUAAUGGGGCCUUAAAAGAAAAAAAAAAAAAGGUAUGAAGUGGUAUCUGAAACAUGAUACCUAAAUAUAUCACCAAAAAAUGUUCUAAGGCAAUCAACAAUCAUCAUCAAGUAAAUGAGUAAUGGUAAAGGAUCUUUCAAGAAUCCAAGAGGUGAAAAGCUGGAAUGGAGUGUUCUUAGACCGCCAAGUCAAAACAAUAGAUGAUGAAUAUAUUAGUUAUUCAAGUUCACAAUUGUUUGA
Long non-coding RNA from Quercus lobata, 1801 nucleotides. RefSeq lists it as uncharacterized. The record is from RefSeq and is a predicted model, not a curated record. Lineage: Eukaryota; Viridiplantae; Streptophyta; Magnoliopsida; Fagales; Fagaceae. The transcript has 2 exons.